UACAGCCAUAUCACAUUGAAACACUGGUUCUCAUAUAAUCACCAAAGUUAAGCAACGUUGAACCUGGUCAGUACCUAGAUAGGUAACUCCUUGGGAAUACCAGAUGCUGUAA
This is a non-coding RNA of Acanthosepion pharaonis, 112 nucleotides long. The record is from the annotation of a GenBank genome assembly. Lineage: Eukaryota; Metazoa; Mollusca; Cephalopoda; Sepiida; Sepiidae.